Daphnia pulex (common water flea) is the source of this 2442-nucleotide long non-coding RNA. RefSeq lists it as uncharacterized. NCBI's taxonomy places the organism in Eukaryota, Metazoa, Arthropoda, Branchiopoda, Diplostraca, Daphniidae. The record is from RefSeq and is a predicted model, not a curated record. The transcript has 6 exons.
GCUGCGAAAAUUAGCACAUGACAAAAAUGUGGUCGUCGUGUGUCAACUCUUGUCGUUUUUCCUGAUAAAAUCGCUUAAUCUACACACUCCAUGCUGUUUGGCAGAUUCGAGGCCUGAGCCGGUCAUCAGUUAUGCAAGUUUGGCUUGUGCUGUGGUUAUGUCAUCAGCAGCAAUUUCAGUCUCACCGUUUUGGAUAAACAGCAUGUUUGAUUGCAGAAACUACCAAUGUCGGCCACGUAUAUCUCUUCAAUUCCCCUUUCUUGAAAUGUCCUCGUGUAUGCCCAUGCGAGUGUGGGUGUAUUCACGAGGACGCCCUUUUCUCCUAUAUCCAGGUGGAUUCAACAUUUUUCUGCGAAUAGGUGAAGCAUAUCUGGAGAUGGAUCGACUGGCCGUGUACUUCCCAGUCUCAAAGGUAGGACACAAUAUGUCCAUCUCUAUUCUUUCCUUUUGGACUGUUUGACUGCGUUAAUUCGUAACAUACGAAGUUACGAUUAUUCCAGAGCUAUCGACUGUAUUUUUCUCUUUCCGUUUUGAGUUGACUCGGUUUAGGGUUCAUUAGUUAACUUAUUUGAAGCAGGCGUGUUUUUGUACCUUACACACCUUUGUAUGUGUGUUUAAAAACAAUUGAAUUCGAAAAAUUAUAUUUGAAAAAUUUAAAAACAGUUGAAGCGAAAUUAGAAAAUGUUGUGGCCCCCACCCGGGCUCGCUCACGAGACGACACUAUAUCUGUCUAGAGAAGGAGGAAAAAGCGAAAGGAUCAACAAGUUUUCUCCAUGAAUUAAACAUCCGCUUGUGUGUCUGUGUGUCAUUCUAUCAAAUAUUUUUCAAAAUUUUCAAAUUUUCGCGCCAGGCAAAGACAUCCCAAAAUUCGAAAAAAAAGGCGCGUAACACUUAAAUGCCUAUAUUUUUCUAUCUCUACUAACACUCAAAAAAUAUUCUAUAAAUUUUAAAAGAAAAAGAAAAAAAGAAAAGGAAAAAGUGGAUAGACAUACACCCCCGUUGCGCGUUGCCAAACUGUAAAAAGAAGAAGAAGAAAAAGAAGAAAAAAUAUCUAUACACAAGCACCGGGGUGUUUUGUUACGCUGACGGCAUCCCGUCGAGUCGAACGCGCCUUUCUCUCUCCCAAGGAAAAAAAGAUUUCGUGAGUUUGAAGACUCCGCGUGACGUAUCCACACGGAUGAAAGAAAGAAAAGACACACGCGCAGUUUCUUUUUUUUUCUUUAAAAAAUAAACUAAAAUUACAUUUGGCGCCAAAUUCGAUUUUCCUAUACGACAAGUGUGACGUCAUUCCAAAUCCCCCCCAAAACUGUUGGAUAGAAUGUUGCAUACAGGAUCUUCUUAUAUUUUCUGGAUCAUUUUCGAAACGUGAUGGCAUUUGAGCGUCCAUGUUACCUGUCCAUUCCCCUCCUUUUUUAUUAUUAAACAUUUAUCCCUGAGGGUAGUACUUGUACUACCAGAAGGCAUUAAAGUAAAUGCGGGUGUCUGGGUGUGUAGGAGGGGGAGGGAUGUGGGGGGAGUGUACGGUGUUCUGGGCCAGGCUUCCAGAACCUUUAAUUCAGAAUCAGAAUAAAUUUAUAGAAAUCUAAACUACUGCAUCGAUUUUCUUCAAACUUUUUGUGUAAACUUACAGUAAUUUAUCUCAGCGGAUAGGUAAGUUUCGAUUCAUUUGGUAAUACUAAAUUUUAUUUCAUUUUAUGCGGAUUUAGUCAUUAGCUUUUUGUGACUUAGGACAACCACAACAUCAAUUCGAUUGUCUGUUUGUUUUGUUUUUGUUGCUGAUUUACCAGUUACCGAACGUCGUCAUCAUGUUGACAUGGCAAAAGACUAUACUAUGGAUUACCUUAUUCAUCAUUGUCAUUGUAAUUGUUUCGCAUAGCUAAAUGCUUCAUGAAGGGAAAAUGACCAUGAUUUUCAUGGUAGUGUAUUAAACCAUUUCUCUGAGUCACUCACUGAUUUUGUUGUGACGCCCAGUAAAAUGACCAUUAAAUGGGUUUGCUUGAUUUUCAUGGUAGUGCACUAAACCAUUUCUGUGAGUCACUCACUGAUAUCAACACCAUAUGAUGAGUAGUCAUCAUGUAUGGCUAAUGAUUAGAAGUUAGACAUGAAUAUGUAUCGUCCUCACCUAAAUUUGGAUGUGCACAUGUCUGUUUCAGAAAGAAAGUUAAGGAUAGGAGAAGAUGAGCACAUUAGCUUAGGCAUACCAGUAAUUUUAAAUCUACGUUGAUUGCAUCUGUUGGAAAAAUGGAAAUUUAUUUAACAUUUGAUUUUAACUGAAUAGUCGUAUGUGUAAUAUUUUCAAAUGCAAUCAUUGAUGUCUUAAAAUCUUCGAGAGCUGUGCCGUAUCACGACAGAAAUGUUUACCUAAAUCACAUUUUGACUUGGCAUUGUUGUAAUCAUUUUAAUUUUUCAUUUUCUAAUAUACCACCGUUUUAACUAUUCGUA